UACGUAGGGAGCGAGCGUUGUCCGGAAUUAUUGGGCGUAAAGCGCGUGUAGGCGGCUCGGUAAGUCUGCUGUGAAAGUCCAGGGCUCAACCCUGGAAUGCCGGUGGAUACUGUCGAGCUCGAGUCCGGAAGAGGCGAGUGGAAUUCCUGGUGUAGCGGUGAAAUGCGCAGAUAUCAGGAGGAACACCAAUGGCGAAGGCAGCUCGCUGGGACGUGACUGACGCUGAGACGCGAAAGCGUGGGGAGCAAACAGG
This 253-nucleotide ribosomal RNA is filed under the name uncultured bacterium. RNAcentral's name for it is "partial 16S ribosomal RNA". It matches the Rfam family "Bacterial small subunit ribosomal RNA", at positions 524 to 776 of the family's 1533-position model. The record is from RNAcentral.